Transfer RNA from Ovis aries (sheep), 73 nucleotides. It matches the Rfam family "tRNA". Rfam says of the family: Transfer RNA (tRNA) molecules are approximately 80 nucleotides in length. Their secondary structure includes four short double-helical elements and three loops (D, anti-codon, and T loops). Lineage: Eukaryota; Metazoa; Chordata; Mammalia; Artiodactyla; Bovidae. The record is from Rfam.
UUCCUGGUGGUCCAGUGGUUAAGACUCUGCACUUCCACUGCAGCAGGCACAGGCUCGAUCCCUGUUCAGGGAA